UUGAAUAUGGGUGACUAAUGUUUGGAAAUUUUGGUGAGUCAUGUUUGGUGAAAUUGAUGUGUUCAUAAUUAAUAUUAUGAAUUUUUGAGAAGAAAUUUAUGUGUGACUUGGUGGAAAAUGAAUUUAAUUCAAUUUAGGUGUGAAUGGAAUUUGGAGUUGUGAUUUAUGUGUGGUUGUGGAAAUUUUAAUUGGUGUGAAUAAAUAUGUUUGAGUAUGCUAUGUGUUGUGUUUGAAAAAUCAUUAGUGUUAAAUGAGUAUUAAAAAUGGGGAAUCUUUUAAUAGCUGCAUUUACUUAAUGAUUAUGGUGAAAAGAGUUAGAGUAUGCUCAUGCAUUUC
This 336-nucleotide long non-coding RNA is filed under the name Cicer arietinum (chickpea). Its description in RNAcentral is "long non-coding RNA (CARI_LNC002690)". The record is from RNAcentral. Lineage: Eukaryota; Viridiplantae; Streptophyta; Magnoliopsida; Fabales; Fabaceae.